AUCCAUGAGAAGACACAGUGUUCCAUCCAGAGGAUGUAGCAUCAAGGCGUCAUCUUAAAAGCAGAGAAUAGACUCUUACUUGACACUAGAUGCCAGUGCGUUGAUCUUGGACUUCCCAGCCUCCAGAACUAUUUAGUUCAGCCUGGUGUGGUUGCAUUUCAGAAUCUGUGAAAAAUGGAAUCACAAUGCUGUGACAGCAGCAUUUAUGCCUGUGGUAUCUGUGAAGCAGGUAAACAGCCCUGGGACAAAGAACAGACUACAGGUAUUGCCUUCUUAAUCAACAAUAAAGUAUUAGUUGGCUUCCAGGCAGACACCACUGACUUUCAAGAGAAAGGCAAGGGAGUAAGGAAGUAAAGAAUUCAGGGCAAACGUCAAGCUUUCCUCUGGGCUCCAAUGUAAAAGAAGUGGAUAGCGGCUGACUAGUGUACAUAUUAUGUAUGCAGACUUUGAAGGAAUCCCUCUUGUUUUUAGCUGUUCUUCCAUUGCUCCUGGAGACUCUGAGCUCAGAGAUUUUCUAGGCUCUGAUGGGCAGAGUGGCUCGUUUCCUCCCUGAAGUUUCCUUCAUGCUACAUUCUGGAUUACAACCUCCUCCAAAGAGUGUCAUCUUUCAAUAUAAUGUCAUCUCUUGA
Long non-coding RNA from Pan troglodytes (chimpanzee), 629 nucleotides. RefSeq lists it as uncharacterized. The transcript is spliced from 4 exons. The record is from RefSeq and is a predicted model, not a curated record. NCBI's taxonomy places the organism in Eukaryota, Metazoa, Chordata, Mammalia, Primates, Hominidae.